AUUGAACGCUGGCGGCAUGCCUUACACAUGCAAGUCGAACGGUAACAGGUCUUCGGAUGCUGACGAGUGGCGAACGGGUGAGUAAUACAUCGGAACGUGCCUAGUAGUGGGGGAUAACUACUCGAAAGAGUGGCUAAUACCGCAUGAGAUCUACGGAUGAAAGCAGGGGAUCGCAAGACCUUGUGCUACUAGAGCGGCCAAUGGCAGAUUAGGUAGUUGGUGGGAUAAAAGCUUACCAAGCCGACGAUCUGUAGCUGGUCUGAGAGGACGAUCAGCCACACUGGGACUGAGACACGGCCCAGACUCCUACGGGAGGCAGCAGUGGGGAAUUUUGGACAAUGGGCGCAAGCCUGAUCCAGCAAUGCCGCGUGCAGGAUGAAGGCCUUCGGGUUGUAAACUGCUUUUGUACGGAACGAAAAGCCCCGGGUUAAUACCCUGGGGUCAUGACGGUACCGUUAGAAUAAGCACCGGCUAACUACGUGCCAGCAGCAGCCGCGG
RNAcentral lists this ribosomal RNA (498 nucleotides) under uncultured bacterium. RNAcentral's name for it is "partial 16S ribosomal RNA". It matches the Rfam family "Bacterial small subunit ribosomal RNA", at positions 30 to 523 of the family's 1533-position model. The record is from RNAcentral.